This 301-nucleotide ribosomal RNA is filed under the name uncultured bacterium. RNAcentral's name for it is "partial 16S ribosomal RNA". It matches the Rfam family "Bacterial small subunit ribosomal RNA", at positions 509 to 807 of the family's 1533-position model. The record is from RNAcentral.
CAGUCGCCGCGGGAAUACGUAGGGUGCGAGCGUUAAUCGGAAUUACUGGGCGUAAAGCGUGCGCAGGCGGUUGUGUAAGACAGGUGUGAAAUCCCCGGGCUCAACCUGGGAAUGGCAAUGGAUACUGGCAAGCUAGAGUGUGUCAGAGGAUGGUGGAAUUCCCGGUGUAGCGGUGAAAUGCGUAGAGAUCGGGAGGAACAUCAGUGGCGAAGGCGGCCAUCUGGGACAACACUGACGCUGAGGCACGAAAGCGUGGGGAGCAAACAGGAUUAGAUACCCGCGUAGUCCCUGUCUCUUAUAC